CGGAUCGCAGGCUGCAACCCGCCUGCGUGAAGUUGGAAUUGCUAGUAAUCGCGGAUCAGCAUGCCGCGGUGAAUACGUUCCCGGGCCUCGUACACACCGCCCGUCACACCAUGGGAGCCGGUAAUACCCGAAGUCAGUAGCCUAACCGCAAGGGGGGCGCUGCCGAAGGUAGGAUUGGCGACUGGGGUGAAGUCGUAACAAGGUAUC
This 207-nucleotide ribosomal RNA is filed under the name uncultured bacterium. RNAcentral describes it as "partial 16S ribosomal RNA". It matches the Rfam family "Bacterial small subunit ribosomal RNA", at positions 1294 to 1500 of the family's 1533-position model. The record is from RNAcentral.